AGACGGAGGGUCCUAGCGUUGUUCGGAAUGACUGGGCGUAAAGGGUACGUAGGCGGUUUGGUCAGUUAGAUGUGAAAGCCCAGGGCUCAACCUUGGAACUGCAUUUAAUACUGCCAAACUUGAGAUCGGAAGAGGAAAGCGGAAUUUCUAGUGUAGAGGUGAAAUUCGUAGAUAUUAGAAGGAACAUCAGAGGCGAAGGCGACUUUCUGGUCCGAUACUGACGCUGAGGUACGAAAGCGUGGGGAGCAAACAGGAUUAGAAACCCUAGUAGUCC
RNAcentral lists this ribosomal RNA (274 nucleotides) under uncultured bacterium. RNAcentral describes it as "partial 16S ribosomal RNA". It matches the Rfam family "Bacterial small subunit ribosomal RNA", at positions 523 to 796 of the family's 1533-position model. The record is from RNAcentral.